UUUGCCUAACACACGAGUCAAGAUUUUCUAGGAGUUCCACCAAAGGAUCACGAAAGUAGAGGAACAGCCCUCUCAGCUGUGGUAUUACCAAGCAAACCUGCUGCUGGUUCUGUGCCAGCCAUGCUGUCUGCUUCCAGCCUGGUACUUAUGAUCUUGUUGAUGUUGGGAGGGACCAGUGGAGACUCAGUGAACCAGACAGAAGGCCCUGUUACCCUCCCAGAGGGGAAAACUUUGACGCUGAGGUGCACUUACCAGACCAGCUCUGGGUAUUCAGUUUAUCUUUUCUGGUAGCAUGAAGUGGGUACCAUGUGAGUGUGUUUGUGACCAUGAGGUGGCAGUGGUUCUGUUCUUCUCAUUUCACAAAUGCCUUAAAUGUUGAAAGCAGGAUGGUUACUAGAGGAUUUGCUCCUGAUUGGCUCACCCACCAACAGAAACGCUCUCUUGAGCAUGAGAGAACAAGAACAAGACAUAAAAACAGCUCCUCAGAGAAGUUUUGGAAUCAUUACAAGUUGUGUCAAGACAGAUAUCAUGAUGGAGAGCAUGCUGGAGUAUGCAGUGAUACUCUUGUGGCUUCAGCUUGGCUGGUUGAGUGGAGAAGACCAGGUGGAGCAAAGUCCUCAGACCCUGAGGAUCCAGGAACGAGAGAGUGUCAGCCUCAAAUGCAGUUACACAGUCAGCGCUUUCAGAGCACUGCAGUGGUACAGGCAAGAUCCUGGGAAAGGCCCCAAAUUCCUCUUCAACCUGUAUUCAGUUGGGAAAGAACAGCAGAAUGAGAGACUAACGGCUAUGCUUUCAGAGAAGGGGAGUUCUCUGCACAUCAACACCCCUAAAGCUGAAGACU
Long non-coding RNA from Phyllostomus hastatus (greater spear-nosed bat), 841 nucleotides. RefSeq lists it as uncharacterized. The record is from RefSeq and is a predicted model, not a curated record. NCBI's taxonomy places the organism in Eukaryota, Metazoa, Chordata, Mammalia, Chiroptera, Phyllostomidae. The transcript is spliced from 4 exons.